Molecule: ribosomal RNA, 491 nt
Filed under: uncultured bacterium
Lineage: Bacteria
Description: bacterial SSU rRNA
Rfam family: Bacterial small subunit ribosomal RNA
Source: RNAcentral
CGAAGGUACGGAGGGGACGAGACAAUAAAAGGUAGACAAUUACGUUUGGUGGCGGACCGGCGCGACGGGUGAGUAACGCGUAUGACCAACCUACCUAUACGAGGAAGGGGAACGUAACCCGGCGAAAGUCGGACUAAUACCGCAUAAAACAGGGGCACCGCAUGGUGAUAUUUGUUAAAGAGAUUCGCUGAUAGAUGGGCAUGCGUUCCAUUAGGUAGUUGGUGAGGUAACGGCUCACCAAGCCGACGAUGGAUAGGGGAACUGAGAGGUUGGUCCCCCACACUGGUACUGAGACACGGACCAGACUCCUACGGGAGGCAGCAGUGAGGAAUAUCGGUCAAUGGGCGGGAGCCUGAACCAGCCAAGUCCGCGUGAAGGAAGAAGGAUCUAUGGUUCGUAAACUUCUUUUGCAGGGGAAUAAAGUGCAGGACGUGUCCUGUUUUGUAUGUACCCUGAGAAUAAGGAUCGGCUAACUCCGUGCCAGCCGCGGC